CGCUAUCAUCCUACGGGAGGCAGCAGUGGGGAAUAUUGCACAAUGGGCGCAAGCCUGAUGCAGCCAUGCCGCGUGUGUGAAGAAGGCCUUCGGGUUGUAAAGCACUUUCAGUCGUGAGGAAGGUAGUGUAGUUAAUAGCUGCAUUAUUUGACGUUUAGCGACAGAAGUAAGCACCGGCUAACUCCGUGCCAGCAGCCGCGGUAAUACGGAGGGUGCGAGCGUUAAUCGGAAUUACUGGGGCGUAAAGCGCAUGCAGGUGGUUUGUUAAGUCAGAUGUGAAAGCCCGGGGCUCAACCUCGGAAUAGCAUUUUGAAACUGGCAGACUAGAGUACUGUAGAGGGGGUAGAAUUUCAGGUGUAGCGGUGAAAAUGCGUAGAGAUCUGAAGGAAUACCGGUGGCGAAGGCGGCCCCCUGGACAGAUACUGACACUCAGAUGCGAAAGCGUGGGGAGCAAACAGGAUUAGAUACCCUGGUAG
RNAcentral lists this ribosomal RNA (476 nucleotides) under uncultured bacterium. RNAcentral describes it as "bacterial SSU rRNA". It matches the Rfam family "Bacterial small subunit ribosomal RNA", at positions 329 to 793 of the family's 1533-position model. The record is from RNAcentral.